ACGAGAGGGAAGACGGCUUCUCUCUGAAGGGUAGACGGGCCUGCUGGGACGCUCCGGGAGGACUUGGGACAGGCGCUGGGCGGGGUUUCGUCGUUCCGCGGAACGCCGGGAAGGGGUCACUUCCAGAUGAAGGUUCCGGUUCCGGUGCGGGCGGAGGUUGCGUUGCCACGGCAGCGCGGUUGGCCGGCCGCUGGUUCUGGCGUUCCGGGUGGUGGGGGGGCUGGAGCAGGCUUGGAUCCGCCGUUCCCGGCUUAGGUGAGCUUCCCGGAGCUUCAGUAAGGCCGUGGCUGUUCGCGGCGAGAGCAGGGACUGCGCCGGGCUCUGGCGACCAGGCCUGCCCGGGGCUACGGCGUCGGGGCCCGGGCCGUGUGUCGCAGCCCUCCUGUGGUCCCGCUGCCCCCGUGGGAGCAGAGGCCCAGACCCCUUCCCAUGGUUCCCGCCUCUGCAGCGCGAUUAUUUCACUAAAACAACUUUGAUUUUUAAAGUUUGUAAAGAGCUCUCGUCUGUGUGAUCGGGGCUUCGCUGACUUUCCAGCCGACCUAAGCCCCUGGGCUUGGGCCCAGGAAAGGUUGAAUGGGGAACUAAGAAAGGAAUUGGUUCAUUCGACAGACGUUUUCUGAGCAGCUGCUGCGUGCAAGGCACGGUGCCGGCGCGGGACCUGUGCCCAGAGCUUGAGAAAUGAGAAGCAGAGUCAUUGAUUCCAGGUAAAUCAGAGGAACAAACAUCAUACAGAAAUACACAGGACAGUAACAUACAGGAAGCGAUGUGAUGUCGAAGCUUAACUGUUGUUUCAAAAGUCCAGCAUCUGGUGCACCUAACAGUAGGGGCUAUAUUAUUUGCAAAGUCACCUGACUUUUACUCAUACUUAUGUUCUGAAUGAAGAGAAAUGAUGUCCUGUAAAUUUAGUUCAGUCUGGAACACACUGUGGGAGAUACAGGUGAAAAUGGAUUCCUGAAGAGGCACUUAUGAAAAGCCUGGAUGUCACAGCAGAGCCUGAUUCUGUUCUGGGGUUUGGACUGUAGAGGUGUGCAGCCUGGCUUCAGUCCUAAGCAUCACUUACGAGCUCUUUUGGAUUUUCCUUGGAAUUUUCUGCCCCUUACAUCUUCCCCUUCCUGGAUUUGUGAAAAACGUCUUUGUGACAUCUGCAAAAGAUCCCACAUACUGUGGAGCAACUAAGCCCGUGCACCACAACUACUGAGCCUGCACUCUAGAGCCCACAAGCCACAACUACUGAAGCCCGCGCGCCUAGAGCCCGUGCUCCGCAGCAAGAGAAGCCACCGCGAUGAGAAGCCCGUGCACAGCAACAAAAACCCAACUCAGCCAAAAAUAAAAAUAAAUAAAUUUAUUUUUUUAAAAAAAGAAUGAACCAGAAGUAAAAAAAGAAAGAUUGUUAAUAACAUCUUUUUGACAGACUUGAGCACUUUGGGUUCCUCUUUUUACCUUCACAAGCACUUCUUAAAUCUUACUGUGGAAUCGUAGCAAAGCCAGCAAGUCCCACAGAAAAUUAAAUAUUCCUGAAUUAUCUCCAGGGUAUGUAUGUAUUGGAUACAGAUGUGAUUUUUAUGCUUUGUGAAACUAAACUGACAACAAUUUCAAUGCAAAACUCCAAGGAAACAAACAACCCAUAGCUUUUCACUUCUGGAAGUUUCAUUCUCUUUUGUCCCCAUGCUGCUUUUUCUCAGUGAGGCCUGAAGUCUCUGGCUAUAUAUAGGCUUUUAAACUCAGACAUCUGCUGGAUUUUGUUCUAUUGAGAACUUUAUUUCAAGGGAAAGAGCCCAAAUCAUAUCUCCUGUCAGGUAAUAUUAAGAAUUAAGUGGUAAUCAUAAAACAUGUUAAGACUUAAGGUGAUAAAAGAAUUGUUGAAUUUUCCUCAACUGUCUGUUUAGUGAAAGAUUUUAAUGUUUUGUGUUAUGUUUCUUUUUUUUUUUUU
Long non-coding RNA from Globicephala melas (long-finned pilot whale), 1930 nucleotides. RefSeq lists it as uncharacterized. The record is from RefSeq and is a predicted model, not a curated record. NCBI's taxonomy places the organism in Eukaryota, Metazoa, Chordata, Mammalia, Artiodactyla, Delphinidae.